Molecule: unclassified non-coding RNA, 391 nt
Filed under: soil metagenome
Description: partial contains 5.8S ribosomal RNA, internal transcribed spacer 2, and large subunit ribosomal RNA
Rfam family: 5.8S ribosomal RNA (bases 1-122)
Source: RNAcentral
GAUGAAGAACGUAGCGAAAUGCGAUACUUGGUGUGAAUUGCAGAAUCCCGUGAACCAUCGAGUCUUUGAACGCAAGUUGCGCCCGAAGCCAUUAGGCCGAGGGCACGCCUGCCUGGGCGUCACACGUCGUUGCCCCCCCAUCUACUCCUUCGGGAUUGCGGGGGGCGGAUGAUGGCCUCUCGUGCGCCUCGUCGCGCGGUUGGCCUAAAUGCCAAGUCCUCGGCGACGCACGCCACGACAAUCGGGGGUUGCGAAACCUCGGUUGCCUGUCGUGUGCGGUCGUCGCGCAUCGAGGGCUCGAAAAAAUUGCCGGGCUUCGGCUCGACUUUCAACGCGACCCCAGGUCAGGCGGGGUUACCCGCUGAAUUUAAGCAUAUCAAUAAGCGGAGGA